Molecule: long non-coding RNA, 1664 nt
Filed under: Gallus gallus (chicken)
Lineage: Eukaryota; Metazoa; Chordata; Aves; Galliformes; Phasianidae
Description: lncRNA (ENSGALG00010022063.1)
Source: RNAcentral
AGUGGAGUUGCUCCGCUUUAGCCGCUCUGCGCCGCCAGUCCGCCAACUCUAUGGCGUUUGGUCCUCCAGGCGGCACGACGCAUGCGCGCCGAGAAGCGGAAGUGGCGGGUUUGAAUUGUAACGGCUCUCCGCGGCGGGUCCGCCGCUCCUCAGUGCUAUUGGUCGUCCGGGCGGUCGUUAAUGAUGGCUUAACGGAGCUCCAACCACCUCUAUCCCCACCAGACAAAGGUGCUGCUCAGCACAAAUACACAUCCCCUGGCCGACUGCUAGGGGUUAGCACCUUGCUUAAUGUCUAUUCACACUGAUCCCUACGCCUUGACACUAACAUGACAUAACAGCUAUUCCCAUGCAGUAAAGUCCUAAAAGGAAAGUAGAACCAACAGCAUUUCACUGCAUGGUGCUUGCACUUCACUUGAAGCUAACAAGCAGCUGGAGGCCAACAACGCACCCGGAAAGUUCGAACCUAACCUUAGCACAGAAUCGUUUGAGUUGGAAGAGACCCUAAAAGGCCAUCUAGUCCAAAUCCCCCGCAAUGAACAGGGACAUACAUCUACAGCUCAGCUUGCUCAGAGCCCCGUCCAGCCUGACCUUGUACGUGUCCAAGGAUGGGACAACCACCGCCUCUCUGCACAACCUUGACCCCCAACUGAUCCCAGGACCCAAGGACGGGUGCAAUGCAGCUCAGUGGCUCUGCAGACACAGGGAACAGGAGCUCAGCAUUGCAAGGAGAUGGCAGCCUGCCCAGGGAAGGGUGAGCCAAGGACUGAGAAAUGCAAUGAGACAGCCCCCGUGUACCCGAGUCAUUCACCUUCAGCAGCUUGGCAAAGGCUUCCAACCCUGAAACACUGCGGGGCUGUUUUUACUGCUGCCGAAGCCAUACAAGUAAUUACUAUUCCUGAAUGAGCACAGCUUUUCUGGACUCCCUUUUAGAGAAGUCUGCACACAGCUCUUACCAUUAUUAACUGCUCUUGUAUAAACAAGGCUCUGAAGCUUAUGGCAGCUAAAGCAAGCUCCAAAAAUAGCUUGGCCAGGAGAGUUUUGAAGAAGGGGGUAAGGGCUAUGGGGCGUACAAGCUGGGUCGUGCAUUGUGAUGUUCCUCCCUUAAGCCCAAAGGACCUGGGUUCUUCCUUGGGUCUUUUUCCAGAUGUCCCAUUAGAAGCAGGGUUAUCAGCCUUGAUACCAAGGUUCCAUCUCCUAGACACAGGGAAAAGUCAAGGCCAUGCAAUGUGACGUCCAGAGACCCCAGAUGAAGAUGAUAAAAGGGGUGAAGUGGCAUUUAGCCCAUUAAAACCAGGAGCUUUGUGCUGCAAGAGGCAGGACCUGGGCUUCACCGUCGCACAUCCAAGUACCCACCCUCACCAUAACGUCGUGCAGUUGGGUGAUGCAAACAUUGCACCCCAAUGGCCCAACAGAGCCCAUCCACCCACUCCUCUGGGUGCUGCAGGGAAGGUCUGAGCAGCCAGGACCACGUUCUGCUCCAUCUUAAGCAGCUUCAGAUUUGAACCUGAGCAGCAAGUCACUGGGCAAGCUGGAAGGUUAAGAUGGAAGUCUGCCCUGUUGUAACCACAGGUGCUCGGGGUCACAUUUUUAGAGCCGUUUACAAACAGACCCUCUCUGUUCCCUUCCUGAGGGUACUCAGCAGUGCUAAAAAAAGAAAAAGAAAU